AGAGUUUGAUUCUGGCUCAGGAUGAACGCUGGCGGCAUGCUUAACACAUGCAAGUUGAACGAAGACUGACUUAGUCUAUGACAUGUUAGUACUUAGUAGCGGACGGGUGAGUAACGCGUAAGAAUCUACCCCCAGGUAAAGAAUAACAACUGGAAACGGUUGCUAAUACUUUAUAUGCUGAGAAGUUAAAGAUCUAUCGCCUGGGGAUGAUCUUGCGUCUGAUUAGCUAGUUGGUGGAGUAAAUGAUCACCAAGGCAACUAUCAGUCGUUGGUCUGAGAGGAUGACCAGCCACACUGGGACUGAGACACGGCCCAGACUCCUACGGGAGGCAGCAGUGAGGAAUUUUCUGCAAUGAGCGAAAGCUUGACAGAGCAAUGCCGCGUGAAGGAAGACGACCUGCGGGUUGUAAACUUCUUUUCUUAGAGAAGAUAAUGACGGUAUCUAAGGAAUAAGCAUCGGCUAACUAUGUACCAGCAGCCGCGGUAAUACAUAGGAUGCAAGUGUUAUCCGGAUUGAUUGGGCGUAAAGAGUUCGUAGGUGGUUUAGAAAGUCGAUUGUCAAAGAUCAAGGCUUAACCUUGGGCCGGCAAUGGAAACUUCUAGACUAGAGUAUGGUAGGGGUAGAGGGAAUUAUUGAUGUAAUGGUGAAAUAUGUAGAUAUCAGUAAGAACACCAACAGCGAAAGCACUCUACUAGGCCAAGACUGACACUCAGGAACGAAAGCGAGGGGAGCGAACGGGAUUAGAUACCCCGGUAGUCCUCGCUGUAAACGAUGGAAACUAAGUAUUGCGCAAACUUUUUAGAAGUGCAGUACUGUAGCUAACGCAUUAAGUUUCCCGCCUGGGAAGUACGAUCGCAAGGUUGAAACUCAAAGAAAUUGACGGGGGCCCGCACAAGCGGUGGAGCAUGUGGUUUAAUUCGAUUCAACGCGAAGAACCUUACCGGGAAUUGACAUACUAUGCAUUUUUUGGAAACGAAAAAGUUCAAACAUAGCUACAGGUGGUGCAUGGCUGUCGUCAGCUCGUGUCGUGAGACGUAGGGUUAAGUCCUUUAACGAGCGCAACCCUUAUUGUUAGUUGCUUUUAGAAAACUAGCGAGACUGCCAGUGAUAAGCUGGAGGAAGGUGAGGAUGACGUCAAGUCAGCAUGCCCCUUAAGUCCCGGGCUACACACGUGCUACAAUGGUUAAGACAAAGAGAUGCUAACUUGUAAAAGUACGCUAACCUCAAAAACUUAAUCUCAGUUCGGAUUGUAGGCUGCAACUCGCCUACAUGAAGCCGGAAUCGCUAGUAAUCGCAGGUCAGCUAUACUGCGGUGAAUACGUUCCCGGGCCUUGUACACACCGCCCGUCACACCAUGGAAGCUGACUAGGCCCGAAAUCGUUGUAAACGCCUAAGGUAAAGUUGGUGACUGGGGUGAAGUCGUAACAAGGUA
RNAcentral lists this ribosomal RNA (1433 nucleotides) under metagenome. RNAcentral describes it as "bacterial SSU rRNA". It matches the Rfam family "Bacterial small subunit ribosomal RNA". The record is from RNAcentral.